Long non-coding RNA from Sorghum bicolor (sorghum), 1649 nucleotides. RefSeq lists it as uncharacterized. Lineage: Eukaryota; Viridiplantae; Streptophyta; Magnoliopsida; Poales; Poaceae. The record is from RefSeq and is a predicted model, not a curated record. The transcript is spliced from 2 exons.
GAGGGAGCGCUUGUCCUGAUCCUUCUUGUUGUCCGUCUUCUUCUCUUCUAUAUCUCCAUCAGUUUUCUUCCUCUGUCCUUACUUCCUCUGCCUGCCCGUCGUCCUCUGGCGUGCCGGUUCCUGGGUGCCCGCGGCCCGCCGUGCCUGCCGUCGCACCUCGCCGUCGUUUGCGGUCUCUCUGUCCUUACUUCCUCUGUUUGCCCGCCGUCUUCUGCCGCGCUGAUUCCUGGGUGGCGGCGGCUCGGCGUGCCUGCCGGCGCGCCUCGCCGUCGUUUGCGGCCUCCGCGGGAUACCGUGCCGGACAAAUCGCGCCGCCAUGUUUCGUCGUUUCAGUUUCGGGGUUGCCACGACCCGGCGUGCGUGCUGCCGUUGCCGUGUCCCGGCGUCCUUCGGUUUCUAGAGCUGUUGAGUUCAGCAGAUCGGUCGUGCGGCCAGUGCACAGUUUCCUGUUCUUCCGGCUGGAUCGACCUGUUGGUCUAUAUUCUCGAGGCUCCAGCUGUACUGACGAUGUAGUUUUUCUGCUUAGUUUCUCUCGGGUAUGCUUUCUGCUCCUUUAAAUUAUGUAGUAACUGUCUUUUUUUUCGUGCUUAAUUAUCAUUCUCCUAUUUUUUAUCCUUUUAUCUGCUAGAUGAUACACCAUGCGUUAUGUUCUAACGCUUCUGUACGUUGUGCCCUCGCUUCUCAUUUUUUUUUGCUCUUGUUUAUUUUGUUAAAUAAAAAAAAAAGAGGAGGAGAGGGAACUAUCAACAGAAGGCUCAAUCAAAGUGACGACCACACCAGUGGUUUUUUUAUCGCUCUAUAUGCUUUGGCUUCUUUGUUUGUUUUUCUAACUAUUCUACUAUGUCUUCUAUCCUCUGACUUUAUCCUCCCAUCUUCUUAUCUACUGCUUCAUGCUUGGUGAGUUUAUAACUCUUCUUGCUUUUUCUAUGCAUUCAUUGUAUUUUUGGGCUGCCUUUAUUUAGAUUGUAGGUUAUCCUGCUAAUUCAUUACGCUGUUUGUUCUUGUCUAUUCCUUUGCCUAAAUGUUUUCUGUUCGCAUUUCUUACUUAUUAAUAUUAUAUGUGGUUGCCCAACGUUGUGGGCUUCCCUAUGCGCAUGUCAUACGGGAGAUUGCGCCCGAUGGAUGCACUCUUUAUGGUGUGAAGCUGCAAUUACCAUCGUUAUUUAGCCACAAUAUACCGUGUUGCCUUUUUUUUUGUCCUCACCGGUGCUAGAUUCCAGUGCUAUGCAUGAGAAUGCUUCCACUGCUCCAUAUAAGGAUGCUGCUCAUCGGGCGCUUAGAUGUCUCCAAUCAAUAUAUGCAUUUACCGUGCUGGAUUAUAGUUACGACACUAUGGUUAGUCAGCAACAAAUUCUUAGGCGCAUAUUCUCCGUUGCAAAUAGGGGUGCACAGCUUGCGCAUGUAGUUGUUGCGAUGUCACACAAUGGUUCAUCUACAGCACUGCACCUGCUCUAUUCUGCUGAGCGUGUGCUUGAUGCCCUCAAUGUCUUGAUGAACCCUAUUGGUUUUUAAGCACUACUAAAUUAAGAGCCCCCUUGUAUUGUAUAAUAUUACUAUCUAUUAUUACCACUAUACCCUCUACCAUGUAUGUCGUAUAAAUUUGGCCUUCCAUGCAUUUUACUUCAAUAUAAUAAUUAAACUUCACCGUU